AGAAGAUUCUGGUCUGUGGUGUUCUU
Molecule: non-coding RNA, 26 nt
Filed under: Mus musculus (house mouse)
Lineage: Eukaryota; Metazoa; Chordata; Mammalia; Rodentia; Muridae
Source: RNAcentral